UUAUUCUUCAAUUCUUUCACGUUAAACUUCCAGCGAUUACGUCCCCUCAUUGUCUCCGCGGUUACGAAACUGAUUUAUCAUUCAGCAACGACUUCCAAUCUUCUUCUUCUACAGCGGUUUCGCAAAAACCGUUUCUCUUUCAAAUGCUAUUCUCUCCCUUUUUCCCAUUAUCAAUCGCAUCGCUUCAUAAACCCUAAUCCAUAAUUUGUUUCUGUUUCUGUUUCUCACUCGAAUCUUUUCUCUCCAUAUUCCAUUCAAUUGCAUAAGGUGAAAAACAAACCAUGGAGCACGGUUGCGACAUCAGAUUCACGAACAACAAUUUGCGGAUCCGUCAACAAGCUUCCAUUCGCACACUGAUUGCUGAUCGGUUUUGCUUGAAUGGGAAAAUAGAGGGAAACAAUGUUGGAAUUUUGAAGAGUAACUGUGGAUAAUUCUUCCAGUAGAACAACCAAUUUGAUAAAGGUUGAUAGUACUAAUAAGCGUGGAAGUUAGUU
Molecule: long non-coding RNA, 494 nt
Organism: Vicia villosa (hairy vetch)
Lineage: Eukaryota; Viridiplantae; Streptophyta; Magnoliopsida; Fabales; Fabaceae
Exons: 3
Source: RefSeq, a predicted model, not a curated record